CCCUGAGCUUCGAGUUUUCUACUUGGGUUUCUGAAACAGAUGACUCCAGAAUUCUUUUUUCUUCUUUAAUGGAAUCGAUUGUGUUUCUGAUAUUACUCCCAGAGAAGCUGUUUCCUGUUCCGUUGAGAGUUGGGUUUGCAGGUGGUGGAGGAAAAUCUGAGCUAUCUGACUUGGCUAUGGCAUAAGCAGCAGUAACAGAGGCCGCAGCUGCAGCGGCUGCUGGUGACUUGAAGAUUUUGGGAUGCGAGGAUGGUUCUCCGGGCUUUAGUCUCAUGACGAAUAUCUGCGUAAAGAAGACAAGAGUCGAAUAUAAUGGAUAAGACAUAUGACUAAGGCAUGAUUUGUGUAAGCUGUCUAUGGGCUUACAUCAUUGUUAUACUUCCCGUUAUAGCCGCCAAAAGCUACUAAGAUGUUCUCUCCAAAUACUGAUGCUGAGCACACACUAAGACCCUGCAGUUUACAUAAUACAGCAAUGCAUAAAAAGCUCAGACAUUAAAGAAAUUAAAAAAAAAAAAUUGAAUUCCGGAUUAGUUUAUCAACCUCACUAGCAAGUGGAUGCCUUGCUCCUACAUGUGUUGAUGUAGACCAAACCAGCUUCGACAUAUUUAGAACAAGUGUCUCUAAACAACCUGCACGUGGAAGAAAAGAGUCACAGAGGAGAGAUGCAUGCGGAGUAUUAACUGCAAAAGCCUGUUAGGCGUAAUCUUGAGUGCAUUUACCGGUACUGUUAUCACCACCCCCAACUAUAAACCAGUUUUCGUCAAUGGUUAUUCCUGCGUGUCCUGCCCGAGGAGGUACAUCAUCUCCCUGAACAUGAGGCUGUGACCACUCCAUCUGCGAUGUAUGCAAGACAAUUAUCAGAAACAUGUUGAAAAUGAUAAAUAAAAUUCCAGAAAAAAUGUGCUUACGGUUUGCAAGUCAAGGAUAUGAAGAUCAUUAAAGAAGAUAGAAUGAGAACAACCACCAAAAAUCAAAAGGUAACGAUCGGAAUGCGUAGCAGCUGUGUGGUCAAAUCUGGGAACUGGGCGUGUCUGCCUAUCAAACAAGAAAAGUACACACUUAAGAUCUAAGACCAGCAAGAAAAUAACUGCACUAAAACAUAAAUAAACAUAAAUCUAGUUGAAUAAACUUACGAUGUCUCAACCACAUCCCAAGUCAUUGUCUCGAGAUCAAGAACAUGCAGAUCAUUCAGGAGCCUCCUUUUCUUAUCUUCCCCACCAAAAACAAAAACUCGGGAACCUACCAGCGUAAUGGAAUGUCCACCACGUGAUACCUAUAAAACAAUUAAAAAGGAGUAUAACUAGCCAAAACAUAAAAAUGUGUACGGACCAAUUCAGAUUAACAGUUUCCCUACCGGAACAUUCCCGGAGGCAUCAACGACUCCACACGAUUGUGUUUCCAAAUCAAUAAACCGCACUGUAAAGAAGAAUCAACACAUUCUAUAAGCAUCUAAAAGAGCAUUUCUGUUAAGAGCAAAAGUAUAGUUUAUUCCUCUCAACAAGUCAAAUACAAUCUCUAACCGCCAAAACGGUAAAGAGCCAAGUUCUCGUAGUCAACACUACUCGAAAACAAGAUACAAUCUCACAAAUUGCAUAAAGAACCUUAAGCUUCUACUUCUUCUAUUUAUAGUCCACUAGUGUUGACUUAUUCAACUCAACGAACUCCAACUGUAUUUCCCGCCACUUCCACGUCAUCGAACUCUUCUUGCUCAAUAUUCUCCACUCUUCUUCUAUUCUUCUUCCUCACGUAACAGCGUCUGGGUCUAUCAAUACCCCCCUCCCCGAAAUUGAGCUUGCCCUCAAGCUCAAAGGUAGGAAAAUUCCGUUCCAACUCUGACAACUUCAUCCAUGUCUUCUCGAAAUGAGGAAGUCCACGCCAGCUCAUACCCCAGCCCCAGCCUUGCUUUUUCACGGUCCCGUCUUCUCUUUCAUCCGCUGCUAACUUCUGUUUUCUAAGCAUCUCAACUUCAGCUUCAAUGGAUUGUCCUGACUCCAAUGCUUUCUGCAGUUCUGCUAUUUGUGCCUGAGACAUUCCAUUAGAGAGAGAAUUCGCAAUUGAGUUGGAGAUUUUGGAAAAGAGAGACAAAAGGCGAAAACUUAAGCACACUGUGAAGAUAGAAGGAGGCUUUUGUAUACCUCAAGUUUAAAGCAUCUUGACCUCUCUGAGAUAAGUUGACCUUGUACAGAUUGGAGUUCCUGCAAUAAUGUGAAAAGAUUGUGAAUCUAACACAAAAGGGGGAUAACAUUUCACUUGAGAGUGUUGAGAGGUACGAACUUGAGAUAGUUCAGCGUGGGUGCUAUUAACUUCAUCUAUCUUUUCCCUGAGCUUCGAGUUUUCUACUUGGGUUUCUGAAACAGAUGACUCCAGAAUUCUUUUUUCUUCUUUAAUGGAAUCGAUUGUGUUUCUGAUAUUACUCCCAGAGAAGCUGUUUCCUGUUCCGUUGAGAGUUGGGUUUGCAGGUGGUGGAGGAAAAUCUGAGCUAUCUGACUUGGCUAUGGCAUAAGCAGCAGUAACAGAGGCCGCAGCUGCAGCGGCUGCUGGUGACUUGAAGAUUUUGGGAUGCGAGGAUGGUUCUCCGGGCUUUAGUCUCAUGACGAAU
Molecule: long non-coding RNA, 2599 nt
Filed under: Brassica napus (rape)
Lineage: Eukaryota; Viridiplantae; Streptophyta; Magnoliopsida; Brassicales; Brassicaceae
Description: long non-coding RNA (BNAP_LNC001951)
Source: RNAcentral